AUUGGUAAGUUUGAUAUACUCCAAACCAGCUAACUAGUGACUCAGAUUGAAAACUCUAUCCUCAAAUCUGUCAGUGUCUCAACAAUUUUCACCCUAAAUUCUUAUCUCUGCAAAAUUCCACCGACCCAUCUCUUUUUUCUCUCACCUGCACAAAAUUUUUACUUGGAAUUCUCACUUACAUUUGUUUUUUUACAUGCAUUUCACAAAUCAUACAUCCUGAAUUUCCAGAUUUUGAACCCAGUUUAAUCUACCAAGGUCAUGUUGUGAAUUUCCAGUAAAAUUUGGUGUUAUUCAAUGGCUGGAAUUUGCGGCGUUAUUCCUUUUUUGGGCGUUGGGCAAGUUUCAUCAUUUCCUAUUUUUGCUGUUCGAAGGUCUUGUCCAAACGCUUCCCAUCUAAAUUUAAAAGAUGUUGAUGAGAAUAGAUACUCUUCUGGGAUUGUCAAACAAGUAUCUAGAGAAAAAAUCUCUCAAAGAUGUCGUAGGGUAUCCGUCAAGUGUUAUCCUAACAAGAGUCGUGACCAAGAAAGGAAAGAUGUAUCUCAAGCUACCUUGAUAUGGAGAGCCAUAAAAUUACCAAUUUACUCUGUCGCAGCAGUUCCUCUUACUGUGGCCAGUGCUGCUGCUUACUUGCAAACAGGGCAAUUUUUGGUGAGGCGUUACCUUGUGCUUCUGAUAUCGUCCAUUUUUAUCAUCACGUGGCUUAAUUUAAGCAAUGAUGUGUAUGAUUUUGACACAGGAGCUGAUAAAAACAAGAAAGAAUCAGUUGUGAACAUUGUUGGAAGCCGGACAGGGACACUUGUUGCUGCCAAUUUGCUACUGGCUUUCGGUUUUGCGGGUCUGAUUUGGGUUGCUUCCGUGGCCGGAAAUGUGCGUUCAUUAUUGCUAUUGUUAUGUGCAGUCAUAUGUGGCUAUGUGUACCAGUGCCCACCUUUUCGGUUAAGUUACCAAGGAUUGGGUGAGCCAUUGUGCUUUGCUGCAUUUGGCCCCUUUGCUACUACAGCAUUCUAUAUGAUGCAGAUUACAUCACGCAACUUAAGCUACCCCUGUUCCCUAACGGGCACCAUACUUUCUGCAUCAAUACUUGUUGGUUGCACCACCACCUUAAUCUUAUUCUGUAGCCAUUUUCACCAGGUGGAAGGUGAUAGAGCAGUUGGUAAAUUUUCACCAUUGGUCCAAAUAGGCAAGAAAGCUGGAUCAGAAAUCGUCAAAAUUGCAAUAGUGGCACUAUACUGUGCCUUAUUUGUUCUAUCAAUUGGGAAAGCUCUUCCGCUGACUAGCACUGUUUUGUGUGCCUUAACUGUACCAAUCGGAAACAUGGUUGUAAGCUACGUGGAGAAGAAUUACCAUGAUAAUGAAAAGAUCUUCAUGGCAAAAUACUACUGUGUUCGAUUGCAUGCUUUGUUUGGAACAGCAUUGGCUGCUGGGCUGGUUGCAGCCAGAAGAUUUGGUAUUUACACUCCAAGACUUAUUUUUCUGUGAUACUUUGUUGGAGUUGGCAUAAGCCAUAAUGAGUAGAUAUUGUCGACUCUUUUCUGCUCAUCAGUAAGAACAGAUCCUUAGCUAUGCUAUCAGAGCAGUGGAAAUUCUUCCAAUGGAUAUUUACCGAAUGUAUAAGCUUCCGGCAGAUGUGUAAGGUGCUUCAUUCAUUGCUUAAUGGGCACUGGCUGAGUUGCAACUAAGGUGCCACUCUAUACAGGGCAUAUCCUUCUAUAUUUCUUUAUUAGGGUGCUUUCCUGUCGUUGGCGUCAACAAUAAUACAGGUUUUCUUUUUAAUUUUACAGCACUGUGUUUGUGACUGAAAAUAGGUAUACCAUGCAAAUCAACCUAAAAUUUGACCUAAGUAAAAGAAAUCAAUGAGUAGUUUCGCCUCAGAAUAACUUGAAUAGAGCUCUUUCUUGGCAUAUUUUCUAAUGCAAAAGAACUUUUGAGGACUUUGUAACUCAUGCAGAAGUAUUUAGAGCACCAAAACUUCAUUUCUGCUCAUCAA
Molecule: RNA transcript, 1987 nt
Organism: Chenopodium quinoa (quinoa)
Lineage: Eukaryota; Viridiplantae; Streptophyta; Magnoliopsida; Caryophyllales; Amaranthaceae
Gene name: 2-carboxy-1,4-naphthoquinone phytyltransferase, chloroplastic-like
Exons: 13
Source: RefSeq, a predicted model, not a curated record